Aethalodelphis obliquidens (Pacific white-sided dolphin) is the source of this 971-nucleotide long non-coding RNA. RefSeq lists it as uncharacterized. The transcript is spliced from 2 exons. Lineage: Eukaryota; Metazoa; Chordata; Mammalia; Artiodactyla; Delphinidae. The record is from RefSeq and is a predicted model, not a curated record.
CUGCAGGGGCCGGUAAUCCUGCAGCUCGCAGCAACAGAAAAGUCAGCCCUACCCUCUGACACCUCGGCCGGCCCGAGCAGAGCCUUCCUCGGGAGGAGGCCUCACCUCAAGUGACACCACAAUUCUGUGACACGGGUUCAGCGGCUCGACUCCCCCGGAAACCAGAAUGAGCACUCACACCUUCUCCGUCCACUACGAUCAACACAUGUUCUCCCCGCCGCCUCAAGGAGCCUAGCUCUUCGCAGGCAAGCCCACUGCUCUCACCUGCAUCCCACUCACCAGGUCUCCUGCAUUUCCCCGCAGCAUCUCUUCAAACCCCGACAGACAAGGGAGGAGCGGCAAGUGGGGAGCAGGAGGGACCCCGCUUGGCCAGCUUGCAUGACAAGCCCUUGAACCAGAACAGAAACCAGAGCACGAAGGAGCCCAGGCUCUCGCAGGCCCCUCUACGCACGCAAAGCCCGGCUGCUAGAUACCCACCCAGGCGCCCAGUCUUCCCAGCACAGGGCCUGUGCCAGGCAGGCUCAGAGGAACCCUGGUCCACGAAGACUGAUUUUUAAAAAUCGUCUAAUGAGCAGAUCUGUUUGCUCUAAGUCUCAUAAUUUCUCACUCCUCCCUGACCAACUACUCUUUUCUCUGAAAGCCCCGGGAACCUCACCUUCGCUGCUGAUAACUUCAGAGGAAUUGGCUGUAGAGACAGUACAAGUCGGGUAGGGAGAUGUAGGGCCCGGAGAAUCAGUAAAAAUAUCUAUGAUGAAAAAGAACAACAUGCUUAUCCUCAGGGAAGAAUGAAGCAUUUGCAUAAUUCCAAGCUGUUUGUUGUGGUGCCUAUUUAUAAAAGGGAAACAACCAACUUGUCUAACAGUAGAAGCCUGGAACCCUCAACACUAUUAAAAUGAUGCUGUAGAGAUUUAUCUUUGUAGAAAAAUGGGGAAAGGUAACCAUAUAUUAAAGGAAAAUAAAUGUUUGCUUUU